CCGGAAGAAGCUAAAACAGCAUUAGAAUUUUAAUCUAAAGAUUAGGAAAUAUCCUCUACCGGU
This 63-nucleotide transfer RNA is filed under the name Siphonodentalium lobatum. RNAcentral's name for it is "tRNA-Lys". Lineage: Eukaryota; Metazoa; Mollusca; Scaphopoda; Gadilida; Siphonodentaliidae. The record is from RNAcentral.